Long non-coding RNA from Pseudopipra pipra, 486 nucleotides. RefSeq lists it as uncharacterized. Lineage: Eukaryota; Metazoa; Chordata; Aves; Passeriformes; Pipridae. The record is from RefSeq and is a predicted model, not a curated record. The transcript has 2 exons.
ACAUGGGGAAGCCCUGGAGUAGCCGUCACAGACAGCCUGGGAAAACUAUAACACACCACACCUCCUGCAGCCUCUAACCCAGCCUCAGAUUGACAGAUUCAGUGAGAACACUGCCCCUCACUCUGGCCUGGAACCCCAGAGUGGCUGGCUGAAGCAUAUGGGGUUUAACUGCUAUACUAGGAAUAACACAUCCAUAUUGCACAUAUGGCACAAUGAUGUGAGCAACAGAGAACUAGGACACCAUCAAGGAAGAUGAAGAGUGGUUUCAUUUAAACAUGAACACACAGAGAUGUGAACAGCAGAGCUAAAAUAUCAGAUGUUUGGAUAGAAACUGCUGUGGGAAGGCAGUGUCUUUGCUAGCCCUCACUGCAUAAAGUGCAGGAUGAGAAACAAAAGCACUGAUGGGCCUUGUGUUGGUGCUGACUAGGACAGAUCCUAUUCUGCAGUGACUGGAGAAAAAAACAUAAAAGAGAAUACAAAGAAAGA